Molecule: ribosomal RNA, 1338 nt
Filed under: Staphylococcus aureus
Lineage: Bacteria; Bacillati; Bacillota; Bacilli; Caryophanales; Staphylococcaceae
Description: partial 23S ribosomal RNA
Rfam family: Bacterial large subunit ribosomal RNA
Source: RNAcentral
ACAUUGUGUCUUCGAGUCGUUGAUUUCACACUGCCGAGAAAAGCCUCUAGAUAGAAAAUAGGUGCCCGUACCGCAAACCGACACAGGUAGUCAAGAUGAGAAUUCUAAGGUGAGCGAGCGAACUCUCGUUAAGGAACUCGGCAAAAUGACCCCGUAACUUCGGGAGAAGGGGUGCUCUUUAGGGUUAACGCCCAGAAGAGCCGCAGUGAAUAGGCCCAAGCGACUGUUUAUCAAAAACACAGGUCUCUGCUAAACCGUAAGGUGAUGUAUAGGGGCUGACGCCUGCCCGGUGCUGGAAGGUUAAGAGGAGUGGUUAGCUUCUGCGAAGCUACGAAUCGAAGCCCCAGUAAACGGCGGCCGUAACUAUAACGGUCCUAAGGUAGCGAAAUUCCUUGUCGGGUAAGUUCCGACCCGCACGAAAGGCGUAACGAUUUGGGCACUGUCUCAACGAGAGACUCGGUGAAAUCAUAGUACCUGUGAAGAUGCAGGUUACCCGCGACAGGACGGAAAGACCCCGUGGAGCUUUACUGUAGCCUGAUAUUGAAAUUCGGCACAGCUUGUACAGGAUAGGUAGGAGCCUUUGAAACGUGAGCGCUAGCUUACGUGGAGGCGCUGGUGGGAUACUACCCUAGCUGUGUUGGCUUUCUAACCCGCACCACUUAUCGUGGUGGGAGACAGUGUCAGGCGGGCAGUUUGACUGGGGCGGUCGCCUCCUAAAAGGUAACGGAGGCGCUCAAAGGUUCCCUCAGAAUGGUUGGAAAUCAUUCAUAGAGUGUAAAGGCAUAAGGGAGCUUGACUGCGAGACCUACAAGUCGAGCAGGGUCGAAAGACGGACUUAGUGAUCCGGUGGUUCCGCAUGGAAGGGCCAUCGCUCAACGGAUAAAAGCUACCCCGGGGAUAACAGGCUUAUCUCCCCCAAGAGUUCACAUCGACGGGGAGGUUUGGCACCUCGAUGUCGGCUCAUCGCAUCCUGGGGCUGUAGUCGGUCCCAAGGGUUGGGCUGUUCGCCCAUUAAAGCGGUACGCGAGCUGGGUUCAGAACGUCGUGAGACAGUUCGGUCCCUAUCCGUCGUGGGCGUAGGAAAUUUGAGAGGAGCUGUCCUUAGUACGAGAGGACCGGGAUGGACAUACCUCUGGUGUACCAGUUGUCGUGCCAACGGCAUAGCUGGGUAGCUAUGUGUGGACGGGAUAAGUGCUGAAAGCAUCUAAGCAUGAAGCCCCCCUCAAGAUGAGAUUUCCCAACUUCGGUUAUAAGAUCCCUCAAAGAUGAUGAGGUUAAUAGGUUCGAGGUGGAAGCAUGGUGACAUGUGGAGCUGACGAAUACUAAUCGAUCGAAGAC